This 98-nucleotide ribosomal RNA is filed under the name Nomascus leucogenys (northern white-cheeked gibbon). The record is from RNAcentral. Lineage: Eukaryota; Metazoa; Chordata; Mammalia; Primates; Hylobatidae.
GUCUACAGCCAUGCCACCUCAAAUGCGCCUGAUCUCAGAAGCCAAGCAGGGUUGGGCCUGGUUAGUACUUGGACGGGAGAGGGGUCUCACUCUUGUCA